AUUGAACGCUGGCGGCAGGCCUAACACAUGCAAGUCGAGCGGAUGAAGAGAGCUUGCUCUCUGAUUCAGCGGCGGACGGGUGAGUAAUGCCUAGGAAUCUGCCUGGUAGUGGGGGACAACGUUUCGAAAGGAACGCUAAUACCGCAUACGUCCUACGGGAGAAAGCAGGGGACCUUCGGGCCUUGCGCUAUCAGAUGAGCCUAGGUCGGAUUAGCUAGUAGGUGAGGUAAAGGCUCACCUAGGCGACGAUCCGUAACUGGUCUGAGAGGAUGAUCAGUCACACUGGAACUGAGACACGGUCCAGACUCCUACGGGAGGCAGCAGUGGGGAAUAUUGGACAAUGGGCGAAAGCCUGAUCCAGCCAUGCCGCGUGUGUGAAGAAGGUCUUCGGAUUGUAAAGCACUUUAAGUUGGGAGGAAGGGCAGUAAGUUAAUACCUUGCUGUUUUGACGUUACCAACAGAAUAAGCACCGGCUAACUUCGUGCCAGCCGCCGCCGUAA
This 500-nucleotide ribosomal RNA is filed under the name uncultured bacterium. Its description in RNAcentral is "partial 16S ribosomal RNA". It matches the Rfam family "Bacterial small subunit ribosomal RNA", at positions 30 to 523 of the family's 1533-position model. The record is from RNAcentral.